GCCUUCGUGGUGUAACGGUAGAAUACUCGGCGCGUAUUCGAGAGGUCCAGGAUCGAGUCCCGGCGAGGGCA
Molecule: non-coding RNA, 71 nt
Organism: Stegodyphus mimosarum
Lineage: Eukaryota; Metazoa; Arthropoda; Arachnida; Araneae; Eresidae
Source: Rfam